Brassica rapa (field mustard) is the source of this 9926-nucleotide RNA transcript. It is a transcript of the gene named receptor-like protein 1, with no coding region annotated. The record is from RefSeq and is a predicted model, not a curated record. NCBI's taxonomy places the organism in Eukaryota, Viridiplantae, Streptophyta, Magnoliopsida, Brassicales, Brassicaceae.
UUAGAUGAUGUGAACUUAAGAAGGCUUUUUUUUUUUAACGCUUGUCAAUCAAAAGUAUUUCUACAAUUCUAGACCAAACUGGUCAGCAACUAAAACUCAAAAAAAAAAAACACCAGUAGGCAUCUAUAGACUAUCCCAUACAAAUGUGGGCAAGAAGUAAAUUCAAAAACCCAAAAAUGCCAUGAGAUUGCGAGAGUGAGAGAGAUAGAGUCAGACUCCCAAAGCAAGAACAACAUAGAUGCUUUUAAACCUCUCUCACUGUUAUGAGAAACCACCUUUUCCCCGGACAGACAACCUCUCCAUCACAAAGAAACCAUGGCUUCAUAAUCCGGCAAGUUAAGACACAUUGAUCUUCAUAAAACUUCAAUGCAGCGAAGUCGGACAACAUAUGACACGACCAUGGCUUCAUAAUCCGGCAAGUUAAGACACAUUGAUCUUCAUAAAACUUCCGAAUGCAGCGAAGUCGGACAACAUAUGACACGACAGGUAAACGCCUACACAGAAACCAUCAUGAAACAAGUAGCAAGGCCUAACCAUCCACAACAAGACCUGAACAUUGGUGAAUGGCAACAAAGAACCUAAGCCGGUGCACAAGAAAAGGCCAUUAUGAUUCCGUUGCAAAAGAACUAAGUUAGUAACGCCAAUGACAUAGCUCCACCCACCCCACCAAAACCAUCAAGCAAAAGAGAUACCAAGGCAGACCCGCCAUUGACAAUAUCUCAACACAGAAGGUCAAACUUACCAACUUGAAAGGAGAAACAGAUUAACCGCUGCUUUGUAGGACCACCACCAAGAAAAUAACCCAACUCAAAAUUCAGAAUCAAACGGGAGAUGAGGGAUCACCAGAGAAUACACACAAAUAUAUCUGGAACCAUAUCAGAGAGGAGAAGAAGGAGACACCACAUGACACGGAAGAGGAGAGGAGGAAGAGCCUCCCCCGGCUGUGGCGGAACAAUAUUAAUUAGUUAUACAAAUUCUACCUCAUGAUUGCAUAGAUUAAUGAAAAAUUCAGAAUUCUCCUUAGAUUGAUCAUUGUAUUCUUUAUCAGACAGUUCUAAUAAAUCAAUAUACUUCUCCUUUUUCAGUUGCCUUUGCUUAACCGUCCACACUGUUUUGAAGGUAACCUUGACAGCACAGUUACAUGAUGUUGUGACCUUAAGUAGGCUUAUGGAGGUAGAUACGAAGAAUUUUACGCUAAUGGAAAACAAAAUUGAAUCCGUCAAAGUUGGUCCAAUUAUAUCUCUGGUUUUGAGUGGUCAUGAUAUGAAAGAACCUAGAGUGGGACCUUAUCUCUUACGUGAUGGAUGGUUAAAAAGUCAUGGGACUUUUCCAUUGGUCUUGGACGUGUCCUGGGGUGUUAUUGGGACCUAUCUCCGACAAAUCUUCAAUCUAACUACUUUCUAAUUCAGUUUGUGUACCACAGGAAAAGAUAAUAAUAAUGAGAAAAUAUGAGAGAUAUUGGUGGUGGGUUAAGGAGAAGAAGCAGAUGGCUUUGGUGCUGUUCAUGAUAGUAUCAUUGAUGCUUCAACUCCAGAUGAAAGGAUGUGUGGGUUGUCUGGAAACUGAACGGAUGGGUCUUCUGCAACUCAAAUCGUAUCUCAAGAAUGAUUUUGAAGUAGAAGAAGAAAGCAUGAUGAAAUCAUGGAGUCAUGAGGAUCCUAGCAGUGAUUGCUGCCAAUGGGAAAGGGUAAAGUGUAGUGACGCUACCGGUGGCCACGUAGUCCACCUCUCGCUUGAUAGUCUCGAACGCAACUAUGAGUUAAAAGACCAUUCUCUAAAUCUGUCUUUGUUCCAUAGCUUCCCUCGACUCCUAAGUCUUGACUUUUCAUUCAGUAGGUUCAGUGACUUGUUUGAUCCCAUCAACGGUCAUAAGAGCUUUCAGAGACUGGAAAAGCUGAGGACCCUGGAUUUCUACCGAAAUAAUCUCAACAACAGUGUUUUCACUUUUCUAAGUGAAGCAAGGUCGCUCAGGACUCUAAACAUUAGUUACAAUUUACUGGAUGGUGUCUUUCCUCCUAAUGGUCUAGAAAAUCUUGUAGAGUUAGAAGUUUUGAGCUUGGCAGGAAAUACAUUCAACCACGUUAAAUCUAUUCAAGGUGCAGUGCUUCCUUCAUCUUUACACGCAUUGAAUCUUGCCUAUAAUCAAAUAUCAUCGGCCCCAAAAGGCUACUUGGAGAUUUGCGCAUUACUGAAUCUUAGAGAGCUGGAUUUAAGCUUCAAUGCUUUGACAAAUACUCCUUAUUGUCUGGCUAACUUAAGCCGUCUUCGAACUCUUGAACUAUCCGAAAACCAAAUCAGUGGAGACCUGUCUUCCUUUGUACCUGGUCUACCAUCAACGCUCGAGUACUUGUCCCUUUUUGAUAAUGACUUCAACGGUUCGUUCUGGUUCAGUUCACUCGUUAAUCAUACAAGACUCACAGUAUUCAAACUGUCAUCGAAAGUUGGUAAGAUCCAAGCUCAGGAUGAGAGCUCCUGGCUUCCACCGUUUCAGUUGAAGAUACUAAAGCUAAAGAACUUCAAUCUUGGCAGCACGAUUCCUAGCUUCCUUGUUCAUCAAAAUGACUUACGCUCCAUAUAUAUUACUUAUAGCCAGUUGAAAGGAGCAUUUCCGGACUGGCUUGUGCAGAAUAAUACAAGGCUGGAGGCUAUUAGACUGAACAACAAUUUGUUGGCAGAGCUUCGACUACCUAGGCUUGUUCAUGGUCUACGAUUCCUUGAUGUCUCGUGUAACAGGAUAUACGAUUCAAUUCCAGAAGACAUAGGGAUUGUUUUUCCACAUCUAAGGUACAUGAACUUUUCUUCAAAUCAUAAUUAUGGAACCAUUCCAUCUUCUAUGGGCGAGAUGAAAAGUCUUAUAAUCUUGGACAUGUCUUCUAAUCAUCUAUAUGGUCAUCUACCCAAAACGUUUUUACGUGGUUGCUACUCGCUGAGUGUUCUGAAGCUCUCCAAUAACCAACUCCAGGGGAAAGUAUUUCCGAGACAUGCAAAUCUUACUAGUUUAGGUUUGUUGUUUCUUGAUGGCAACAAUUUUGAUGGGAGUCUCGGAAAAGGUUUGUUGAAAUCAAAGUACCUAAUUCUGUUGGACUUAUCAGAUAAUAGCUUUUCCGGCACACUUCCCUUUUGGAUCGGUAAAUUCCCAGACCUAUACUAUCUAUACAUGAGGGGAAACAAACUAGAAGGUCAGGUGCCUCAUCAACUACAAAAUCUACCGCUUAAGGUUUUAGACAUGUCAAACAACAGAUUUUCUGGUUCCAUUCCAAGGAAUAUUAAUGUUGACUAUCUCAGAGAAUUAAGACUACAUAGCAAUGAGUUCAUGGGCUCAGUUCCGAGCUAUUUAUUCAAGGCUGAGGGGUUACAGGUGCUCGAUCUGCGGCACAACAAUCUUUCUGGAAUGAUUCUGAAUACUAUUGCAAAUACAUCUAUCUUACGUGUUCUUCUUCUACGGAAUAAUAGCUUCCGGACUCAUAUCCCUGAUAAGAUAUGUCAGCUAACUGAAGUUGGUCUCUUGGACUUAUCUCACAACAAAUUCAAAGGCGCUAUACCAUCAUGUUUUGGUAAAAUGUCUUUUGGUGCCCAAACAUACGACAUAUUCAGCCCAUAUGAUUUCUUUCUAGGAUUCUCAUCCUUCCAAAGCUGGAGAUAUCCAUCAGCUCUUUACCUUGCUGAUACCGAACUGAACCAAGCCAUUCAGUCACCACCAAAAACUAAAGUUAAUUUUUUAUCGAAAAGCAGAUAUGAAACAUAUCAAGGUGGUAUUCUUCUAUAUAUGCAUGGUCUGGAUUUGUCAAGCAGCCAAUUAUCCGGGGAGAUUCCAGUUGAAGUUUGGGAUCUUAAGAACAUCAUAUCCCUGAAUUUUUCAAGCAACCGUCUCAUCGGCUCCAUACCAGGUAGCAUUUCAAAGCUGAAGGAUUUGGAGAGUUUGGAUUUAUCUUACAACAAGUUACAUGGAAACAUCCCUCCUCAGCUAGCCGAUCUCAACAAUUUAGGAUACUUCAAUGUCUCAUAUAACAAUCUAUCUGGUGAAAUCCCUUUCAAAACCCAUCUUGUGACCUUUGACGAAAAGAGUUACAUAGGCAAUCCUCAUCUCUGUGGACUUCCUACCAAUAAAAGUUGCAACCUCGAGAGAGCCAGUGUAUCAAAGCGGGCCAAAGAAGAAGAAGAGGGUGGUGGCCGUGUGAUAGAUAUGGUGUGGUUUUAUUGGACUUGCGGUGCAGUCUACAUCUCCACAUGGUUGGCCUUGUUUGCGUUUCUAUGCAUAGACUCACGUUGGUCCCGUGAAUGGUUUUAUCGUGUCGAUCUCGUGGUUCAUCAUCUUCAACGCUUCAAGGAUGGCUGCAACUGAGCCUAAGAGACAGCCAAUUACAGAGCACGCAGUGAAGGAAGGAGAAAGUCGCAGGCGGUGAAGAAAAAAGAUCCGAUCGAUGAAAGAUAACUAAAGAGAUCAACGGAGCCACAUCUGGAUCAUAGCUGAAACCGAGACUGUGUUGUAUGAUCGAAGACUUGACCUCUAUUUCGGAAAGUGAGGUUUAGAGUUGAUAGUAGAGAGGUGGGCGAUCUGAAGCAUCUUUUGUGGAGCCUUGAGUUUCGUUCGGUCCAGUGUAGGUAAGCGAUUAGGAGGAGCUUUUUGUGAGGCUUUGGGAGUCGUAGAUUGUUGAAGUAGUUGAUGAUGCAGUUAUAGUCUCUUGGAGUGGUAACCUGACAGCAAAGCUACGUUGAGGACCAGACUUACCAGCUGUAACAGCAGUCAAAAAGAAGGUGAUCUCGAGUUUCCGGAGCCGCAUUGCAUAGAAAGCAGACUGAAUCAACAUUGAGGCCCCAGUUGAUUAAUCGAUCUCUUGUAGGGCUGCGGUAUAGUUCUAAAAGCCAAGCCAGGAAGUUCUGUUUAGUUUGAUCCGUUGACAGUCUAGACGUAUGUGUCUUCUUCAUCCGUCAGCUGCAAGUUUGUGAUUCCAGCAAUGACAGUGUUAACCAAUAGCAACCUUCCAUCAAAAGAAAGCGAUUCACUCCAGGGAACUGGCCAUAUGUAAGUUCUCUUGCUUCAGGACAUCGUUUGCACAUCUCAAAAUAUUCUGUUUUCGUUCAUGUAUAUCAAAGGCAAAAGUACGCCAAGCAGCUUCACAUGCAGAGAGAUACUUUAUGGCUGAUGAUCUAUUGCACCAUUCAACAUUGAUAUGAGCUCUGUAUUUCUUAAGAAGUAGGAGAUUGUGAGGCACAACAUAGCUAUUAUCAAGCUUUGCAUCUCCUUUCAUGACAAAUUUUGUUUCCUCAUAUCUCCUACGGUAAGUAAUGUAGCCAGCUUCAUUGAUGCUUGUGUUGUCAUUGUAGGGUCGUGGAAACUUUUUGGUGCAUUUGUUAUCAUUCAUACACUUUGGUCCACAUGGUCCAUGCAUCAUUAGUUGUUCAACCAAUAGAAAGCCUUCCGGAUCAGCCUCUUUAUCUGGUAACUCAGAGUUAUGGUAAUGAAGAGAUCCGGAUUUCCAUACCAUCUGCAUAUUGCCAUUGCAUCUCGAUAGUUCUCUACCAUGUAUCGCGGCCCGCCUGUGAACGAAGAAGGUCAUACGUUCUUGUUCGAUAGCAGUAUAAGCAUCGACUAUGUAUUGGUGGAAAAGGCGUCCUGAACGAACUAUUGUUCCUGGAAGUGUCAAUCUGGUAUGUAUUUGAUAUGCAUAAUACUCUCUCAUUGUAACGUACGACCUCUUUGUAGCAUAUCCUUCUGAACUAUAUGGAAUAGUUUUCUCAAUGUAGCCUUGUUCACCAUAUGGAAACAACAAAGGAUACUGUAGUGACAUAUAGGAUGGAUGUAAAUAACUUAUCCGUUGUGGUUUAUCCAUUCUAGGAUGCACUAUUAUAUCUCUAUCAGAGUUUGGGAUAGACAUGUCACCCACAAUAAGUCCUGCAAUUUCGUCUCCUUGUGGAAGGUCAAAUUGUCUUCCACGUUCUUUAUUUUUGAGUAUCCUAAUUGAAUAUUCUUCACUUGCUCCUGUUUCGUAUCGAUCUCUAGCCAUUCUAAACACUUUAGCUAACUCGUUAUUUUCAUCAAGCAUCUUAAUCAACCCUCUCAGAAUACUUUCAUCUAGGUCUGUUUUUUUUCCUUUUGAUAGUGCGUUGAAACGGUUCUGAAGUUCGUGAGCGGUAUCAUAUAUGUAUAGCUGUGCAAAACGGGGUAUAUCUCCUUCGGCUGGUAGUAAUGAUCCCAUUCUGUGGUAGUUUUGACCAUGCAUACGAAAAGUGAAUGGACCAUUUCCUGAAUUGAUAUCAUAAUCAAUUUUCCCUCCCAUAGAUGUAAAAGCAAGCAUUGAAUUAUAUGCUCGUAUAUUUUUUCGAAAUGAUGGAGACUGCGAUAUUAACUCAUCUAAAAAAGCUGGAGGUUCUCGGGAUUGUUGUAGGAUAACUCGUCCCUGUUGACAGCAGAUUGAAAAUCUCAGUUCUUUCCCUUUCAUUUUCAAACUUUCUGAUUUCCACACCAAGGCUUUGCAGUGAGUACAUGUGACCAAUUCAUUGGCUUUUUCUUUCGUAUUUCCUGAAAGAAAUAAGUGCAGGAGUCAAUCUUAUAUACGUGUACGGAUUCAGAUUCGUAUAAUAAAUAUAGUAAAUUAAUUUAUUUUUAAUAAUUUUGUACCACGAUUAUUUGCCGUUUGUGUUCUUCUUAGACAUCUUCGUCUUUUUUCUAUAACACAGUUAUCUUGAUUAUCAGUACUUUCUCGAUCAGAUGUAUUGACCUGAGAAUUAUCUUGAGAUUCAUUAUUUUCUAGAGGAAUAUCUUGCAAGAUUUCAGUGUUUAAAUUUGAAGUGCUUGACUGCUUGCUAGUUUUAGCUAUCUUUGAUCUUCGGUUGUAAAUCCUGCAACAUUGUUGAAAAGUUAAAAAUAAAUUGCAGAAUUUAUUUUGUUAGAUAAAAUUAUUUUUAAUAGGAUAGAGAGACAUAAUUGCUACCAUUUUCUAAGUUGCGUCGUUGUAACCUGAGGUCCCUAUAUUUUGUAAAGUUGUGUUAGACAAUAAUAAUUCAUAUAGAAGAAGUAAUAUUUUACUUUUAACACUUACAAUAUGAUUUAGGUUGUCGAUCCAUGUUUGAAGUGUCGCUGAUUUUAGCCGUAUAUGAGGUUCAUCCAUAAGCGACUUCUCGAUUAUAGCAAUCUGUUCAUCAUUCAUAAUAGAACGUUUUCUUUUAUUAGCUUGUGCUUCACUUUUCUCUUGUGUGUUAUUCAUGUUUGAAUGCCUUGGUUACUUUUGUGGUUUUUGAGCUAAUUUACUCUUUCAUAUAUACUGAUUGUAAUUUCCUUAUAUUUUUAGGUAACUAUGGUUUUCUUUUGUUGAGAAAAGGAACAACGAUGAAAAUUUCCUUUUUGACGCUAAAGAAGCAUGUUUCCUUUUCCCAACAAAUUUGAGUUUUAUUUCUAUAAUAAUAAUUUAUAGAUUCAGUAUGUCGCUCCCUUUUGCUUAAGAAAACAUAUUUCCUUUUUAACAAAUUUGUGUUUAUUUUCAUAAUUUUUGUUUUGAAAGAAAAUAAGAUUGUUUAUCAAACAAUUUAAUUUUUAUGCAUCAAGUUUUAUUGAUAAGAUAUGGAUUAUAGUUUUCCUUAUCACAAUAUUUUUUUUUUGUUUGAGAAAAUAUCACAUUAGUUUAAGUGAAUAUAAAUUUAAACUUUUACUUUUAAAAGGAAAUAUAUUUUUUUUGAAAAUAAACAGAUGACGUGCAGAAAUUGAGAAAUCUUUCAAUGUUUUUUGCAAAAAUUAGUAAAAAAAUAUAGAAGAAAUAUAUUUCCUUUUUCAAUAUGUUUAGGUUAGUAAUACAUUGACCAAAAAGGAUAGUUCGCAUAUUAAGUUUUCUUUAUCAAUAAGUCAAUUUACUUCCUUAUUCUAUACUGAUAUUAAUUUUUCUAUACAGUGAAGUUGGUUACGUGUGGGUUUCCUAGCUGUUACUUCAAAUUCUUUUAUUUUGCAUAAACAAAUUUUAAUUACACGUAACCUAACUAACUAAUCUUUUAGCAAAAAGGAAAAAAACCUAACUAAUUUUACUGAGAUAAGACCAAAUUUGUUAUCCACAAACAUGUCGAGAUCUAUUUUGUAAAUAACGUUAAAAAGAAAUGAUCACUGAUUUCGACUAUAUGCCAAAAAAUGGACCUAAAAUCACAUAUAGCAAAUGAAAAUAUUAAUGUCGUAUAAAAUUUAAAAAACCAUAAAUUAGGCAUGUUUGUCUUAUAGGAAAACAAUUAUUUAAAACAAUAAAAAUUUAAAAAUAAAAUAAAAUUUAUAUAUUAAAAAAAUCGAGCCUAAGUAUGUGGUUUUUUCUGAAGAUUCUCGGUAGUUUCUUUCUGAUCUUCUUCUUCACGUUCUUUGCGUUUAUUUUCCAAAUUUCUAUCCAUCGGAGUUGACUAUAUAGAAAAAUCAAAAAUGAAGAAAUAAGUUAAGUAUAAUAUAAUAUAAUAAAUCAAUCAAACAUAUAUAGUCUAGUUACCUUUAUGUGUUUAUGAAUUUUUGAAACUGUGAAACUUUGAUAUGAGGACUGAAAAUCUCUUUCUUUAAUUUUUAUCUCAAACAAAUAAGUUUGCCCUACAAUUGACUGCACGCAUUUGGGAAUAUCUUUCAAUCCUUCUUCAGGUGAGUUUCUUUUGAUCUGUUAGCGAAGAUUAUUAGAUAAUAAUUAAUGACAACACCAAUAUUAUAUAUCUACGUAGAAUUAUAUUUACAACAUAAGGAACUUACUUCUUCAGCAGUUGCUCCAGUUAUUUUUGAACCAUCUUCAUCAAAUAUAACAAAAGUUGCAGAAUCAUUUCCAUCAUCUACUAUUACUUCAAUUCUGAAACUGAGGAAUUUUGAUUUAACUUCAAAAUUUAAUAGUAUACAUUUAUAUAUAUAUAUAAUAUUUAUCUAUUUAUGACUAAAAAAUAUAUAAAAUAAAAUUGUGAAUAAUACCUCAAAACUCCAACAGAUUGCGAUUUAACACAUUUUUGGCAAUAAAGUGACGUUUCUGAUUUUUUCAAUUUUGUUGAGCAACUUGAACAUGAUAUAUAAUUCCAGCCACUAUGUGAGACAAUAUUAGUAAUGGUUGCCGUACACAUGAAUGUCUUUUUCUGCAGUUUUUAAAUUUAUAAAAGAUUAGGAAUAAUUUUAAAUUAUACAUUUCAUCUGGUGAAGAAUGAAUUAUUAGAUAUAGUUACGUUACCUGAGGGAUAUCAGAUGCAAUGAAAUCCCAAAUAUCAUUAAUGGAAUGUUGGACGUCAGAGAUCUCAUUAUUCGUCGAAGGAAUUUCAACCAUAUCGCCAAGAUUAACCAAACAGCCACCAUCAUAGCUGACACUAAUAGAAAAGUAUAAAACCUAGUUAGUAAAUUUGUUUUCAACUAAUUAGGCUUAAUUUUAAUAAAAUAAACAUCCAAAAAUUUUAAAUAGUACCUUUUUCGAAAGUCAGUAACAGAAUCAAAAUCAUGAUUCAAAUAGAAUUUAGUCCCAGAAGAUGCUGACAGACAAAUUACACCUUGAUAUGUCUUGAUCAAAACACUUGUCAUGAUAAGAACAAUAUUAUUACUUUUCACAGCACGAUAUUUAUCUUCAAAUAGUUCUGCUUGUUCAGCCCAUAGUGUAACUUGUAUUUCAAUUCCACUGUAUAAGAUAGAAUUUUUGUAAAACAAAAAUAAAAAAUAAAAAUCGAAAUUGAUUAAUAGAAUUGGAAUUUAAAAAAAUACCUUUCUAACAAUAAAGUUAGAAUCACUCUUCGAAGGACAGGUGUGGUCUUGCUACGAACAUCCGUUUUCUCCAUAUUCUUUAUAUAUCCGAUUACAUCUGUAACAAAAUCGUGUUAUAUAAUAAUGUUACUUGAAGCAAAAUUCAUUACAAAUACCGAAUAAAUACUGCAAGAGAUUUAAUUAUCAUGAAGAUAUAAAGCGAAGACAAAAGGAGAAAGAUAAAGAAAUAACUGACCAAAAGAAAAUA